GAUGAACGCCGGCGGCGUGCCUAAUACAUGCAAGUCGAGCGAACGGACGAGAAGCUUGCUUCUCUGAUGUUAGCGGCGGACGGGUGAGUAACACGUGGAUAACCUACCUAUAAGACUGGGAUAACUUCGGGAAACCGGAGCUAAUACCGGAUAAUAUUUUGAACCGCAUGGUUCAAAAGUGAAAGACGGUCUUGCUGUCACUUAUAGAUGGAUCCGCGCUGCAUUAGCUAGUUGGUGAGGUAACGGCUUACCAAGGCAACGAUGCAUAGCCGACCUGAGAGGGUGAUCGGCCACACUGGAACUGAGACACGGUCCAGACUCCUACGGGAGGCAGCAGUAGGGAAUCUUCCGCAAUGGGCGAAAGCCUGACGGAGCAACGCCGCGUGAGUGAUGAAGGUCUUCGGAUCGUAAAACUCUGUUAUUAGGGAAGAACAUAUGUGUAAGUAACUGUGCACAUCUUGACGGUACCUAAUCAGAAAGCCACGGCUAACUACGUG
This 497-nucleotide ribosomal RNA is filed under the name uncultured bacterium. Its description in RNAcentral is "partial 16S ribosomal RNA". It matches the Rfam family "Bacterial small subunit ribosomal RNA", at positions 28 to 507 of the family's 1533-position model. The record is from RNAcentral.